GACAUUUUUCUCUGAAUUGACCAUGAAUGACAGGAGAGGACAGGGAACAGUGUCUUGUCAAGAGUUUGGCCAAUUCAUCGGAAAUACAAUCGAGCAAGUCCAAAUACGACUAGACCCUGAAAGUUUACCACUUGGUUGACAGUACUGACUCAGUAGAUCAGGAAAGCAUCCAUGUCUCCAGUAGAAAGUAUAUGCAUGAAAUGCCAACAGAUAUCACUCUCAAAGAUCAUCCUUUUGAUAAAGAGCAACGGAAACGGGUAUGUGGAAGGCGUCAGACUGGAACAGUAGUCACGGAGAGAAAUUCGUUACAGAAGGGGUCGCUGGGUGUUAGAUGGGAAAA
This is a long non-coding RNA of Saccostrea cuccullata (small rock oyster), 340 nucleotides long. RefSeq lists it as uncharacterized. The record is from RefSeq and is a predicted model, not a curated record. The transcript is spliced from 3 exons. Lineage: Eukaryota; Metazoa; Mollusca; Bivalvia; Ostreida; Ostreidae.